Molecule: ribosomal RNA, 277 nt
Filed under: uncultured bacterium
Lineage: Bacteria
Description: partial 16S ribosomal RNA
Rfam family: Bacterial small subunit ribosomal RNA
Source: RNAcentral
GAUGAACGCUGGCGGCGUGCUUAAGACAUGCAAGUCGAACGCAUCCGGGUCGCAAGACCUGGGUGAGUGGCGAAUGGGUGCGUAACACGUAGGUGACCUGCCCGGAAGUGGGGAAUAACAGUUCGAAAGGACUGCUAAUACCGCAUGUGGUGCGUGGGUUUUGAAGCUGCGUACCAAAGGUAUCCGCAAGGAUGCCGCUUUCGGAGGGGCCUGCGGCCCAUCAGCUAGUUGGUAGGGUAACGGCCUACCAAGGCGACGACGGGUAGGGGACCUGAGA